GGACGGGUGAGUAACGCGCAGGAAUCUGCCUGGUAGCGGGGGACAACUCGGGGAAACUCGAGCUAAUACCGCAUACGCCCUACGGGGGAAAGCGGGGGACCUUCGGGCCUCGCACUAUCAGAUGAGCCUGCGUCCGAUUAGCUUGUUGGUGAGGUAAUGGCUCACCAAGGCUACGAUCGGUAGCUGGUCUGAGAGGAUGAUCAGCCACACUGGGACUGAGACACGGCCCAGACUCCUACGGGGGGCAGCAGUCUAGAGGCUUCGGCAAUGGGGGCAACCCUGACCGAGCGACGCCGCGUGGAGGAUGAAGGCCUUCGGGUCGUAAACUCCUUUCGGCUGGAAGAAAAGCCGCCGGCUAAUACCCGGCAGUCCUGACAUUACCCACAGAAGAAGCACCGGCUAACUCCGUGCCAGCAGCCGCGGUAAUACGGGC
Molecule: ribosomal RNA, 433 nt
Filed under: uncultured bacterium
Lineage: Bacteria
Description: bacterial SSU rRNA
Rfam family: Bacterial small subunit ribosomal RNA
Source: RNAcentral